This is a non-coding RNA of Drosophila melanogaster (fruit fly), 789 nucleotides long. NCBI's taxonomy places the organism in Eukaryota, Metazoa, Arthropoda, Insecta, Diptera, Drosophilidae. The record is from Ensembl.
ACCCCUAGGAUUUUGCAAAAGUGAAAGUCACUAUUAGAACAUUCGUUUAUUUUAAAAUCCUGCCUAUUCUUAAGCCCUCGAUAAGCAGCAGUGCACCAAUUAUAGGCUGGUUGAUCAGAAAGACACCGAAACUAAAGCAAACAAUGGCACAUCAAAGGGAAUGGAGGCAAACAUCCAACCACCCAUACCACCCACCACCACACCCGACCGGCCCCAUCCACUGAAUAUUUAUAAUAAUUUGCACCACUUCAGAGGCUUUCAGCGUUUUGUACCCCACCUCCCGGUUGGAAAAUGUGGCAAUGGGACAUAAAAACUGCUUUUUGCAAUUUACAUCAACAUUUUUAUCACCCCACCACCCAUCGGCACAUCCCACCACCGACAACCUUCAAGGAGUACAGCAACAACAACACGCUUUUCCUAUUUGCAUACAUAUCCUCCUGCGUCUUUUUGCGCACUUAAUUACACACGCAUACGCUUCAUUCCACUUUGCGGUGCUGCUUGUCUAGGCAUACGAGCCACCCAACCAGCCAAACCACCCACCCAACCAGGCACCCACUGGAGGACAGGAAGGACUCCGCAACCAUUUGCGAACCACCGCGGUGGGACAGGCCCACUACGGAAAUAGACACGGGGCACACUCCGGAAAAAUCGUACAAAAUGGAGGUCAUCACUGUAAUCCCAAUCGAUAAUGCAAAUUAACAAGGAGUCGUAAAAAUUAUGAACUUGAAUAUGGGCAAAAUUAAUUGCAAAAUUAUACAAACUAAUUCCCAUCGUAGAUAUUACGAUAUU